GUGCUUGCACCACCUGAUUAGUGGCGAACGGGUGAGUAACACGUGAGUAACCUGCCCUCCACUUCGGGAUAACCUCGGGAAAUCGUGGCUAAUACCGGAUACGAGCACUCAUCGCAUGGUGGGUGCUGGAAAGAUUUAUCGGUGGGGGAUGGACUCGCGGCCUAUCAGUUUGUUGGUGAGGUGAUGGCUCACCAAGACGAUGACGGGUAGCCGGCCUGAGAGGGCGACCGGCCACACUGGGACUGAGACACGGCCCAGACUCCUACGGGAGGCAGCAGUGGGGAAUAUUGCACAAUGGGCGAAAGCCUGAUGCAGCGACGCCGCGUGGGGGAUGACGGCCUUCGGGUUGUAAACCCCUUUCAGUAGGGAAGAAGCGAGAGUGACGGUACCUGCAGAAGAAGCGCCGGCUAACUACGUGCCAGCAGCCGCGGUAAUACGUAGGGCGCAAGCGUUGUCCGGAAUUAUUGGGCGUAAAGAGCUUGUAGGUGGCUUGUCGCGUCUGCCGUGAAAACCCGAGGCUCAACCUCGGGCGUGCGGUGGGUACGGGCAGGCUAGAGUGUGGUAGGGGAGACUGGAACUCCUGGUGUAGCGGUGAAAUGCGCAGAUAUCAGGAAGAACACCGAUGGCGAAGGCAGGUCUCUGGGCCAUUACUGACACUGAGAAGCGAAAGCAUGGGUAGCGAACAGGAUUAGAUACCCUGGUAGUCCAUGCCGUAAACGUUGGGCACUAG
Molecule: ribosomal RNA, 730 nt
Filed under: bacterium SCSIO13346
Lineage: Bacteria
Description: bacterial SSU rRNA
Rfam family: Bacterial small subunit ribosomal RNA
Source: RNAcentral